This 433-nucleotide ribosomal RNA is filed under the name uncultured bacterium. Its description in RNAcentral is "partial 16S ribosomal RNA". It matches the Rfam family "Bacterial small subunit ribosomal RNA", at positions 29 to 507 of the family's 1533-position model. The record is from RNAcentral.
AAUGAACGCUGGCGGCAGGCCUAACACAUGCAAGUCGAGCGAGCAUUUCGGUGCUAGCGGCGGACGGGGGAGUAACGCGUGGGAACGUGCCCUUGUCUGCGGAAUAGUUCUGGGAAACUGGGGGUAAUACCGCAUACGCCCUUAUGGGGAAAGAUUUAUCGGAGUAGGAUCGGCCCGCGUUGGAUUAGGUAGUUGGUGGGGUAAUGGCCCACCAAGCCGACGAUCCAUAGCUGGUUUGGGAGGAUGAUCAGCCACACUGGGGCUGCGACACGGCCCAGACUCCUACGGGAGGCAGCAGUGGGGAAUCUUAGACAAUGGGGGCAACCCUGAUCUAGCCAUGCCGCGUGAGUGAUGAAGGCCUUAGGGUUGUAAAGCUCUUUCAGCUGGGAAGAUAAUGACGGUACCAGCAGAAGAAGCCCCGGCUAACUCCGUG